This 347-nucleotide ribosomal RNA is filed under the name uncultured bacterium. Its description in RNAcentral is "partial 16S ribosomal RNA". It matches the Rfam family "Bacterial small subunit ribosomal RNA", at positions 338 to 683 of the family's 1533-position model. The record is from RNAcentral.
CCUACGGGAGGCAGCAGUGAGGAAUAGUGGUCAAUGGGCGCGAGCCUGAACCAGCCAAGUCGCGUGAGGGAAGACGGUCCUAUGGAUUGUAAACCUCUUUUGUCGGGGAGCAAAAGACGCCACGCGUGGCGUUCCGAGAGUACCCGAAGAAAAAGCAUCGGCUAACUCCGUGCCAGCAGCGGCGGUAAUACGGAGGAUGCGAGCUUUAUCCGGAUUGAUUGGGUGUAAAGGGUGCGCAGGCGGAAGAUCAAGUCAGCGGUAAAAUUGAGAGGCUCAACCUCUUCGAGCCGUUGAAACUGGUUUUCUUGAGUGAGCGAGAAGUAUGCGGAAUGCGUGGUGUAGCGGUG